Molecule: small nuclear RNA, 134 nt
Organism: Danio rerio (zebrafish)
Lineage: Eukaryota; Metazoa; Chordata; Actinopteri; Cypriniformes; Danionidae
Source: Ensembl
AAAAAGAGCAUCUGCUGUGAAUAGCGUAGCUGCGGAAGGGAUUCUUUGACACAGUUGCGGAAUCGCUAUCAAGAGACAAGAUGCACAAUUUUUAUAAUCUGAGGCUACCAAUGAUCUGUUAUCUUGGUGCCUCA